UCUAUAGAUGAUGAUCCAAAAUGCAUAGAAACAUGGGUAGAGAUGGGAAACUGUGAAAGCGAUGGGAACUAUCUGGAAUACAGGAUUGAGCGAUCUAGCAGAUACUUAUGAACUUCUGAAGCUCGGUUGUUCAAAUUAUCAUGGAUGAGAUGAUAAGGAAGCGCCUGAUAUAGAUUUCAAAAUUGAAGUUGGGUCACCGAAUUGAGGCCAAGGCC
Molecule: long non-coding RNA, 215 nt
Organism: Triticum aestivum (bread wheat)
Lineage: Eukaryota; Viridiplantae; Streptophyta; Magnoliopsida; Poales; Poaceae
Exons: 3
Source: RefSeq, a predicted model, not a curated record